Molecule: long non-coding RNA, 238 nt
Filed under: Vitis vinifera (wine grape)
Lineage: Eukaryota; Viridiplantae; Streptophyta; Magnoliopsida; Vitales; Vitaceae
Description: long non-coding RNA (VVIN_LNC002263)
Source: RNAcentral
ACGGAUUCCGGCAGAACCUCGCCGGGCAUGACGGCGUAACGCGGGCUGGCGUUUUUCAACUUGGCAAAUCUUCGCUUGGGAUCGCUCCUGGUGCCCAGGUAGAUAGCUCGGUACUCUUCGUUGGUGAGGUCAGCGAAUCUGUUCAACCCUACCUUGUAGGUGCGAUUUUGAGCGUUGUGUUCAUCUAUGAACUUGAGGUUAUCUUUGAAUAUCUCAAACCUCUUCUCUUUUUCUCCCA